RNAcentral lists this unclassified non-coding RNA (229 nucleotides) under plant metagenome. RNAcentral's name for it is "partial contains small subunit ribosomal RNA, internal transcribed spacer 1, and 5.8S ribosomal RNA". The record is from RNAcentral.
GCUCCGUAGGUGAACCUGCGGAGGGAUCAUUACAGAGUUCAUGCCCUACCGGGUAGAUCUCCCACCCUAUGUUAUUAUUACUUUGUUGCUUUGGCGGGCCGUUAGGCUCCGGCCCGACUACCGGCCCCGGCUGGUAAGCGCCCGCCAGAGGACCCAAAACCCUGAAUAUUAGUGUCGUCUGAGUACUAUAUAAUAGUUAAAACCUUCAACAACGGAUCUCUUGGUUCUG